Non-coding RNA from Mesocricetus auratus (golden hamster), 124 nucleotides. The record is from Rfam. Lineage: Eukaryota; Metazoa; Chordata; Mammalia; Rodentia; Cricetidae.
AGAAUUUGCGUGUAUUUGUUCAACGAGUGGACAAAGGCAGAUUAGAUAGGUACAAAAAUAAUUCCUCUUGCACAGCCCAGAAUAUGUUGUUCAGUAUGAGUUUUGAUAUAUACAAGAAAAAAUA